Bradysia coprophila is the source of this 287-nucleotide long non-coding RNA. The record is from RefSeq and is a predicted model, not a curated record. Lineage: Eukaryota; Metazoa; Arthropoda; Insecta; Diptera; Sciaridae.
CGGCAAAGAAAAUGGCAACAUCAACGCCAGCAAAAAGGCAAUAAAAAACCGAAGAAACGAGGUCAAAGCAACGGUAACGGUAACGGCAAAGAUUCAGACGAUGAUUUCGUGUCAACGAAAAAAGUUUACAAUUCGCCGCCAAAGCUUCCGAAUGUGGCUGCAGUAGGCCGACGAAAGAACGUCAUUCCGAAGAAACCACCCGUCAGUAGCAACGUUAACGUUAACGUUCUAGAUUCGCCGCCGAAGCUUCCGAAUGUGGCUGCAGCUCCGAAGAAACCACCCGUCAG